RNAcentral lists this ribosomal RNA (581 nucleotides) under Duvalius longhii. RNAcentral's name for it is "partial 16S ribosomal RNA". The stretch from base 340 to 498 matches the Rfam family "Bacterial large subunit ribosomal RNA", at positions 2473 to 2632 of the family's 2925-position model. Lineage: Eukaryota; Metazoa; Arthropoda; Insecta; Coleoptera; Carabidae. The record is from RNAcentral.
AAUGGCUGCAGUAAUAUAACUGUACAAAGGUAGCAUAAUCAUUAGUUUUUUAAUUAAAAGCUUGUAUGAAAGGUUGGACGAAGUAAAAUCUGUCUCUUUUUAAUGUAAUUAGAAUUUAAUUUUUAAGUAAAAAAGCUUAAAUUUGUAUAAAAGACGAGAAGACCCUAUAGAGUUUAAUAAUUUAUUUUAAAUAAUUAAUUUAGAUUUAUUUAUUUUAUUUUUUAUAAAAUUAUUUUAUUGGGGUAAUAAAAAGAUUAGUAUAAUUCUUUUUUUUAUUUUACAUUAAUUUAUGAAUUUAAUGAUCCAUUUUUUAUGAUUAAAAGAUUAAAUUACCUUAGGGAUAACAGCGUAAUUUUUUUAAAGAGUUCAUAUCGAUAAAAAAGUUUGCGACCUCGAUGUUGGAUUAAAGAUUAAUUUAGGUGUAGAAGUUUAAAUUUUUGGUCUGUUCGACCAUUAAAUCUUUACAUGAUCUGAGUUCAAACCGGUGUAAGCCAGGUUGGUUUCUAUCUUUAUAAGAUUUUUAUAUUUUAGUACGAAAGGACCAAAUAUUUAAUAUAUAAAUAUUUUAUUAUUUUGAAUAU